Epinephelus moara (kelp grouper) is the source of this 3216-nucleotide RNA transcript. It is a transcript of the gene named RAN GTPase activating protein 1a, with no coding region annotated. The record is from RefSeq and is a predicted model, not a curated record. Lineage: Eukaryota; Metazoa; Chordata; Actinopteri; Perciformes; Serranidae. The transcript has 17 exons.
CGUUGUAGUCCAAUUGGACUACAACUCCCUUGUCUCCCAGAUGUGCGGCCGUCAAGUAGUGUAGUGUGCUGAAUUUGGUUUUAAACGCCAGGAGUGAGCGGGAGUGUGUGACUGGACUGGAUUCAACCGGCACAGCGGUGUUCAGGUGUCUCGAUGGCGACAGACAUUGUUGCGCAGUUGGCCGACUCUCUGGCCAAGACUGGAGUAGAGGACGGAGAGCUGAGCUACAAAGGCCAGGGGAGAAAGCUGGACGAUGCCAAAUCAGUGGCGGAGAUGGUUAAGGAAAUCCAGGACUUUGAGGACUUACAGGCUCUGAGGUUGGAGGGAAACACUGUGGGUGUGGAGGCAGCACAGGCCAUUGCCAAGGCCCUGGAGACAAAGAGCAAGUUCAAGCGCUGUUACUGGAGUGACAUGUUCACAGGUCGUCUGCGCUCUGAAAUCCCACCUGCCCUGAAUUCACUGGGUGACGCUCUGAUGCUGGCGGGCGCUAGGCUGACUGUUUUAGACCUCAGUGACAACGCCUUUGGACCAGAUGGGGUGAAAGGCAUCGAGAAGCUGCUCAAGAGCACCGCCUGCUACACACUGCAGGAGCUACGGCUCAACAACUGUGGCAUGGGCAUCGGAGGGGGGAAGAUCUUGGCUGCUUCAUUGAGCCAGUGCCACAAAAAAUCCAGUGCAGAGGGCGCCCCUCUCGGCCUGAAGGUGUUUGUUGCAGGGAGGAACCGCCUGGAGAACGAUGGAGCCACUGCCCUUGCUCAGGCCUUCCAGUUGAUGGGCAGCCUGGAGGAGGUUCACAUGCCCCAGAAUGGCAUCAAUCACCCUGGUGUGACAGCUCUGGCCACGGCCAUGCAGCACAACGCAGGCCUCCGCAUCCUCAACCUCAACGACAACACCUUCACUGAGAAGGGGGCUAUCGCCAUGGCUCAGGCCCUGAAACACCUACGCAGCAUCCAGGUGAUAAACUUUGGAGACUGUUUGGUGCGGCCGGCUGGAGCCAUAGCUAUUGCAGAGACUGUAUCAGAGGGACUCCCAAUCCUCAAGGAGCUCAAUCUGUCAUUUGGCGAGAUUACGGAGGAAGCCGCUCUGGCUGUGGCACAAGCAGUAAAGGACAAGGACCAGCUGGAGAAACUGGACCUAAAUGGAAACUGUCUCGGAGAGGACGGCUGCAAAGCUCUGAAAGACACCAUGGAAAGCAUGAACAUUGGAGAUCUUUUAGGAUCACUCAGUGACGAUGAGGGUGAGCCGGAGGAUGAUGACGAGGAUGAAGAUGAGGACGAGGAAGAGGACGAAGAUGACGAGGAUGUGGAUGAGGAGGAAAUAGAGGAGGAAGAGGAAGAAGAGGAGGAAGAGGAAAGCAAUGGCAUCAAGCUGUCGACCCCCACAUCAGCACCCCGGCCCCCAGACGUCUCCUCGUUCCUCAGCUUCCCGUCCCCAGACAAACUGCUAAAAUUGGGAACUAAGAGAGCGAUGCUGAUUGAGCAGCAGGUGGACGUGUCAGAUGCUACAAAAACAGCUGAAGCCUUCCUCAAGAUUGCGUCUGUCUACAAGGAGGAGAAUAAUGAUGUGAAGACUGCAGUGUUGGACAGCGUUGACACUCUGCUGAAGAAAGCUUUUGCCACUCCUUCCUUCCAAGGCUACAGCUUUGUAUCAUCUUUGUUAGUGCUGCUCGGACUUCUCAAGAGUGAAGACAAGGUGAAGCCUGUACUGGUGGUUCCCGGUCACCUCCACACCUUGGAGCAUGUUGUUCGACAGGACUACUUCCCCAAAGAGAGCGUGGCUGUGCUGGAGGCCUUCAUGUCCCGGUAAGGGCGUGACUGAGUGAGCCAAACAGCAGGCAGCUUUCAGCUGAGUCGCAGGGGCAGCAGGCCAAGCAAAGCACCCCCAACGUCCCUCUCCCCAGCAACGCUUUCCAGCUCCUCCUGAGGGACCCCAAGGCGUUCCCAGGCCAGAUGAGAUAUGUAAUCCCUCCAGCGUGUUCUGGGUCUUCCCCGGGGCCUCCUACCAGUGGGACGUGCCCAGUAGGCAUCCUGAUCAGAUGUUGAACCACCUCAGCUGACCCCUUUCGAUGCGAAGGAGCAGCGGCUAUACUCAGAGCUCCCUUCGGUUGUCUGAGCUCCUCACCCUAUCUCUAAGGUUGAGCCCAGACACCCCACGGAGGAAACUCAUUUCUGCCGCUUGUAUCCGUGAUCUCAUUCUUCGAUCACUACCCAGAGCUCAUGACCAUAGGUGAGGGUUGGGACGUAGAUGGACCAGUAAAUCGAAAGCUUUGCCUUCUGGCUCAGCUCCCUCUUCACUGUGAACCUUUACCUCUGUGCUGAUCGCCAACACCUGUCUGCAGCCACCAUCGCUCCGUCUCUCCCACUCAACCACAGCGUAGGGCACGAGGGGGACGAACAAUCCAUUAAACAUAAACAACAAGGCUCUGGAGUCAUGUGGCACCGCCAGAAACAGCCUCCAGUCAACACUGCUGAGGGUCAGGUCUGAGGGCUGAGGACUGUGGACACACACACACACAAACACACACAUAUACACACACAGACUGAGCUCUGACUGAUCACUGAUGGACCUUUUGGAAACCAGCACACAUGAACCCAAACCUGAAGCAAAUAAAGCAGAGCAGCACUUGAGAAGAACAGACUCCACUUAGACACACUCACUGUGUCACUGCUGUCCUUCACAAGUUCAGCAUCAAACCUCUUCCUCUGGACUGGACUUGAAUGCUUGGUGUUUUGGAGUAUGCUCUUACGGUGUGGACUAACUGAAGUGUUUCGUGUGCACUCACACAACCACAGGACGGCACUGACAACUUGGUCUUAAUGCUCUUUGUGUUCUGAUGAAUAAGAAAAGGCCCCACUCCUCACAUUAACUAAGGUCUGUGUGUUGUCUGCUGGUUAGUGAAGCACAGAUCACUCUAUGGUGAGAACUACAAUCGACCCUGGCUUGAAACUUUAGCUUGUGUACAUUCUCUAUUUCAUAUCUAACUUUUACUAUGCUGUUGUUUUAUAUUAAAUGUUUAUUGAAUUCAAUAUUACGGUCAAACAGCGGUGUGAUUAAAUAUAUAUUGACCGAUAAAUAUUAUCAAAAGAAGACUGUAAAGUACCAUAGAACAAUCAAAAGGGAUGAAAUAUAUCUUUAUGUAUUUUUUGCCUUUAGUGAGGCACAUGGUGCAGAGUUUCUGGAUUUUGUGACGCGGAAAUAAAGCUGGUUUGAGUGUUG